Molecule: long non-coding RNA, 4875 nt
Organism: Oryzias melastigma (Indian medaka)
Lineage: Eukaryota; Metazoa; Chordata; Actinopteri; Beloniformes; Adrianichthyidae
Exons: 8
Source: RefSeq, a predicted model, not a curated record
UCUUUUGCAGCAAAGAAGGUUCUGGAAGGAGCAGCGAGGAGGGAGGAUCUCAGGGAGCCGAGACGUUUGACCAUCUGUGUUGCCUUUAGGACGUGUCGAGGUCGUCACGGACUGACCCCGCCCCCAGGAGCGCCGCUCACAAGAGAACGACCUCAGACCAGAUUUUAUCGAGUGACCAAAGGAUCGAAAAGACUGCUUUGGUGUUCCGGCGUGGAGAAGUGGUGGUACUGGGUACCGGAAGCCCCGCAGGUGAAUGUUUGGUCCCCAUGGAGGGUGAGCAGGGGGGAGUCUCCGACACAUCCAGGUGUUUCUGCAGAGGUUUAUGGAUUCUUCACGGAUCAUCCGGAUCUGUUCUCUGCUGAUCUCAUUCAACAAGAGAUUACUGUGAAGAUCACAACAUGAAUCUGCAGGAUUCCAGCAGAUUAACAGGAUGAGGGACAGCAUGAAGCCGAGAAGCCGCAGACCAAAAAGGCCAAAGUUUUGCAGAAGCAGCUUCUGAUGAGCAAGCUCGCCGCUUACGUUCACCAGCAGGGCGGAGUCAGGAAGAGCGGUCUGCAGGAGUCCAGUGGAGGACUGAGGUUCUGGUCUCAGAGGAACCGAGCAGAAACCAACGGCUCCUCUGUGGAGUUCCUCUCUAACGAGGAGCAGUAGAACUUCCUGCGUCUCCUCAUCGUUUCCUGUGAGCGUUGUCUCGUUCAUGAGUUUAGCUCCGCCCCCUCUCCUUCAGCAGAGAGGCUACUCCAGCGUGUGGACGACCGCUCGCCGUCCGGCUCCAUGCAGUCUGUCUCCUUCACGCUGCUCCUCUGAAGAGGAGGACGCCGUCAUCCUGACUCCGCCCCCUCCACUGCAAUGUGCCGCCUUCCUCAGCCCAGCAGACCUGUAGGAGUCCCGGCGCCCCCCAGUGGUCAGCACGGGCGUCUGCAUCCCUGAACUUCAGACGGCAGGAGAAGAUCGGAAGCUCAAACAGCAACACCUGAGCAGGUGUUCCAGAGGAGACACUGUCACCUCCUCCAUCGUCUGUGGUAACGGGGGAGGGGCUUCACUUUGAAGUGAUGAUUGACAGCUGACAGGCUCCAGGUCGUUCUGGUUGCACCUGCGCUCUGACACUUCAGGAGCUGCUGGACGCUGCCGGAGGUCCGGUCCAACAAAAAAGAAAGAAAAAGAUCUAAAUAGAGUUUCUGCUCAGUAAACCUGUUGUGACGGUAAAUUCUAACACUAGAGGCUCUCCGACAAGUUAAACAAAAGGAGAGAGUUUCAGCUGAAGCUGAAGGAAGCUGAAACGGCGUUUGGUCUGAACUUCCUUCUGAAAGACCAGCGUUCUGUCAGGAUCCAGUUUAGGUUCUGCUGAAGCUGAAGCUGAGCUUCCAUGGUCUCAACGUUCUCGUCUCGUUAGCUCAGUUCAGUGACAUUCAUGAGCCCGUCUCCAUGGUAACCGUCUGUGGGUCCGGGUGUCUCCGUCUCCUCAGAGCUGGAGAUCAGACGAUGACAUCAUCACCCCAACCAGAAGUUAGUGACCCCUCCUCUGUCAUCUACUGACCUUUAGAACCGGAUAAUCACUUUCAACCAGAACCCAAUGACCCCCUCCCCCUCAGGACCAUCACUGGUUCCCUUUCCUCAUCAUGCCCCCCCCUUAGCCCCUCCCCACUCUGAUCUCUGGAGCUGCUGUGCUCCGUCACACACUGCCCCCCCCUCAAUAGUUUGCCCUCUCCUGAACCUCAGCCGCUUUACCCCACCAUUAUGUCUUUACAUCCUGCAUCAGCCUCCUUCAUACUACCCCCCCGAAACCCCCAGAUCCAGUAAAAUCUAGUUAGUAAUGAUGUCAUGUGACCGGCCAAUCAGGGCAGAGCUGGUGUUCAUGGAGGCGUGGCUUUUUUGAGUGAUUUCAAAGAAGGACAGAGAUUGUUGUGAACACGACACUUUAUUGAUCAGUGUUUGCUCGAUGAAGAACGGGUCCGGAGAAGGGUGGGCGGGGCUCUGGCCGUCUCAGCUCCCUGAUUGGCUCUUUACUCGUACAGGUAGGGCUGGAAGCAGGAGGUGUAGUUCACGAACUCCUCGGCCUUGAACCACAGGUCAACCUCCCUCUUGGCGUUCUCCAGGGUGUCGCUGCCGUGGAUGAUGUUCCUGAGGAAAGGGCGGAGUCAGUGACGGCGUGGAACCAGACGCAACAUUUACAUCCUCUCACUGAAUGUAGCGACUUCCUCAACAUCGUUUUAUGUUAUUUCAUAGCAAACAUCAUAAAUAUUGACUUUGUGUUUGGAGAAUAAUUGAGAUAAAUUUAAAACCAAAGUUCAGUUUAGUUUCUGUUUGUUGUUCUCGUCCAGGUUCUGGAGGUUCUGGAGGUUCUGGAGGUUCUGGAGGUUCCGGCUCCUCACCUGCCGAUGUUGAUGCACAGGUCUCCGCGGAUGCUGCCGGGCUUGGAGUCGGCAGGGUUGGUCUCUCCCAACAUCAUCCUGACCAGCUUCACGAUGUUCUGACCCUCCCACACCUGAAACACAGCAGACCUGCUCAUGUCUGCGGUUCUGAUCCGAACCAGGACGCAGAACGAUCCUUCCUCUGACGAUCUGAGUUCGGUUUAGCUUAAGGCGAAUGCCGGAUCCUUCAUGACUGAGAGCUGAGAAGGUCUCAGUCAUGAAGGAUCAGCCCUCAGGAGCUCGACAGCAGUGCAUUGUGGGUGUUACCAUGGCGAAGAGGGGUCCAGAGGACAUGUAUUUGCAGAGUCCACCAUAGAAGGGCAUGUCCUUCAGGUCCAGGUAGUGCUGCUUCAGUUGGUCCUCAGAGGCCUGAGGGGAACGAAUGAAACAUCUGCAGGUUUUCUCUCACUUGGACUCUAAAAUCUACAGAGGACAGAGGAAAACAUGGUUUGGCCCCGCCCCUUAGUUACCUGCAGGAAUUUAGCGGCCACCAGCUUGAAGCCUCUCUGCUCCAGACGCCUAAUGAUCUCGCCACACAGUCCUCUCUGGACGCCAUCGGGCUUCACAGCGAUGAAGGUACGCUCCAUGUCUGCAGAGGGCGCAGGUUUAGAUGCCAUGACGACGACCUGCAGAUGCCAUGACGACGACCUGCAGAUGCCAUGAUGACGACCUGCAGACGCCAUCACGGCGCCCCUGCAGACGCCAAGAUGAGGACCUGCAGACGCCAUCACGGCGACCUGCAGACGCCAUCACGGCGACCUGGAGACGCCAUGACGACGACCUGCAGACGCCAUGACGACGACCUGGAGACGCCAUGACGACGACCUGGAGAUGCCAUCACGAUGACCUGCAGGCGCCAUCACGACGACCUGCAGAUGCCAUCACGACGACCUGCAGACGCCAUGACGACGACCUGGAGACGCCAUGACGACGCCAUGACGACGACCUGGAGACGCCAUGACGACGACCAGCAGACGCCAUCACGAUGACCUGCAGGCGCCAUCACGACAACCUGCAGAUGCCAUCACGACGACCUGCAGACGCCAUGACGACGACCUGCAGACGCCAUCACGAUGACCUGCAGACGCCAUCGCGAUGACCUGCAGACGCCAUCACGACGACCUGCAGACGCCAUCAUGACCACCUGCAGACGCCGUCAUGGCGACCUGCAGACGCCAUGACAACGACCUGCAGACGCCAUCAUGACGACCUGCAGACGCCGUCACGGCGACCUGCAGACGCCAUGACGACGACCUGCAGACGCCAUGACAACGACCUGCAGACGCCACCAUGACGACCCGCAGACGCCAUGACGACGACCUGCAGAUGCCAUCAUGACGACCUGCAGACGCCAUCACGACGACCUGCUGGUCGCCGUCAUGACGUCUCCAGACGCCAUCAUGGUGACCUGCAGACGCCAUCACGACGACCUGCUGGUCGCCAUCAUGACGUCUGCAGACGCCAUCAUGACGACCUGGAGACGCCAUGACAACGACCUGCAGAGAUGCUUCCAGUCUGAUCUGAAAACCUCUGAAGGUUUUUUUCAUCUCAGACUAAAGACAUUCUGAUUGGUCAGAUUCAGGGGUGUGACCCCGCCCCCAUAGAAACCUGUCAUUCUGCUGUCAGGUGUGAAUGUCUUCACCUGUGCUGCAGCUUUUUACUUCACAUCGUGUUUAUCGUCUCUGGGACACAUUUGUUCAUUUUUAUGUCGUUCUUUCUGGUUCAUACUUCAGCCGUUACAGAUUUUCAGCUGAUUCUGCAUGUUUCAGCCUGAUGAGCUGAAAAUCUGAGUCCUAACUGGAGCUUCACCCCAGACUCUCCAUGAAUCUCAACGUUUUCAUCUUCAAUUUGACUUUGAAUACUUUGAUUAACUGGAAAGUUUAAGGUUCUUCCUCCUUAACCUCAGACAGGAUCGACUCUGUCGCCCCCUGCUGGCCGACGCGGAACAUCAGCAGUUCUGGUUCUGAUUCUGAUCCAGUCCAGAAACUUAAAUCUUCUACAGGGGGGGUUCUGCUGGUCUUUGUUCUAGUCCCAUGACUGGAAUCUUCAGUCUCUCAUCAGAAACUCGACCCCCCCCCAGCUGUUCGGCUCUGCGGCUAAUUUUAUGCUGGAAUCUGAAGGCGUGGAGCUGCAGCUGACCGGCGCUAAACCAGACACCCCCAGCAUGAGAGAGGCGUUACCACGGCAACUGACAGAGAGGAUAAAACCUGCAGCUCAGUGAAGGAGAAAACAGUCUUUGGGAGGUCCCAGAACCAGAACGGCGGGCUUUCUCGGACCUCGUGCACGCAGCUGAAGAGCUCCCAGUCAAACGCCACCAGCUGGUUGGCCACCUCCUCUGCUGACAUGUCGUGGAGUUUGCUGUCGCCUGGCGUCCAGUGGAUCUCCUCAGGAAGAGGGAGCUGCGGGGGGAGGACAGGAUUACAACCAGAACCAGAACCGUAGGCGGCAGCAUCAGGAUGAAAAC